UCAAAUGAAGCAGGCGUUAAAUGGUUCUCUAAAGAAGAGAGAAAAUUCUAGAGGGAAGAGACAGAGAGGGAUAAAACUUAAGAGAGAUGGUCGACCCACUCCCCCUCCGCCUAAACUUUCCACUCCUUAUUUCCACGCAAAAAGAAACUCAAUGUAGAGGAAAUUAAUGGCAAUGUGUUAAGGAUAGACCUCAUCUACAAAUUAAAAGUCCUACAACUAUGGAAUCAUCUGUCAAUGAUCAACGCAAUAACAGAUAGUAGCAGAUAAUGAUCAACACAGUAACAAAUUGCCAACUCCACUGGUACUCCUCUCUCUCUCUCUAAAUUUUGGCUUCAAACUUAAUCUUUUAUGCAAUAUUUGUUUCUUCCAAAUAUCACAAAAUACUAAAUUCCACUUCCAAAGACGCUAAUAACGACUUGACUAACCAUCCUUUGACAAGAUUCUAUUCAAAGAAUAGAGAGAUACAUCCUCAAACAAGCUUUGGUGGUCCAUCAUGCACCAAACAACGAUUGGGGGUUCAAAAGCAGGGAUGGAUCUUUUCGAUAUUAUUCUCACUAAGGCAUGCUAAAGUUGGAGAAUAAGGAAUGAAUGAUCAAUGAUGUCUCGGAUUUGAAGCUGGCUUGAAUUAAGAAGAAUAAAAAUUGUGUUAAUGCCAGUACCAAUAGAAGUUUAUAUUGGGUUGUACAAAGUAAUAACUGGAUUCAAGUCUCUAAUAUCAAAGGAGAACAUGACAUUAAUUAGUCUAUCUCAACCCAAAUAAUGGGCUAAAAGUGAAGGACAAUGAGGAGAGUACUGUUUUGUUU
Molecule: long non-coding RNA, 803 nt
Organism: Quercus robur (English oak)
Lineage: Eukaryota; Viridiplantae; Streptophyta; Magnoliopsida; Fagales; Fagaceae
Exons: 3
Source: RefSeq, a predicted model, not a curated record